Regulatory RNA element from Pelosinus sp., 107 nucleotides. It matches the Rfam family "PyrR binding site". From Rfam's summary of the family: This family represents the PyrR binding site and terminator structure. This RNA structure is found upstream of a variety of genes involved in pyrimidine biosynthesis and transport. The alignment also includes a portion of the antiterminator structure. Lineage: Bacteria; Bacillati; Bacillota; Negativicutes; Selenomonadales; Sporomusaceae. The record is from Rfam.
CUAUCCUUUAAGCUAAUCCAGAGAGUUUGGCAAGGGUGUUUGUUCGGCCACAAGUCUAUCUUGUUGCCUUGAAGCUCCUUGCCUACCUGGUAAGGAGUUUUAUUUAU